CAGUCUACACUCUACAGUUAGUUUACACGCGUUUCGGUUGAUAACUGCUAUGGAAAUAUACCAAUCUAUAUAAUCAUGGUACGAAUGGCGAAUAAUUGCUCAAGCAUAUCAACCUACAAUAUGAUAAGCUUUUACAUAUUACAAAUAUAUUUUAAAAUUACAUAUAAAACGUGCGGCGCGAGGCAAUUUCUUCAAAAACCAUUGAGCCUCAACAUUCGGUUCAGCAACGGCUGAGAAAUCACUACAUGACACGCUAUCAUACUACUGUAUAUUUU
Non-coding RNA from Cinara cedri, 275 nucleotides. The record is from the annotation of a GenBank genome assembly. Lineage: Eukaryota; Metazoa; Arthropoda; Insecta; Hemiptera; Aphididae.